CAAAAUGUAGCUUAAACAAAGCAACCCGCUUACACCGAGUCAAUGUCUGUUAAAUUCAGACCAUUUUGA
RNAcentral lists this transfer RNA (69 nucleotides) under Breviceps poweri (Power's rain frog). RNAcentral describes it as "tRNA-Val". It matches the Rfam family "tRNA". Rfam says of the family: Transfer RNA (tRNA) molecules are approximately 80 nucleotides in length. The record is from RNAcentral. Lineage: Eukaryota; Metazoa; Chordata; Amphibia; Anura; Brevicipitidae.